This 78-nucleotide transfer RNA is filed under the name Desulfurococcales archaeon. RNAcentral's name for it is "tRNA-Arg". It matches the Rfam family "tRNA". From Rfam's summary of the family: Transfer RNA (tRNA) molecules are approximately 80 nucleotides in length. Their secondary structure includes four short double-helical elements and three loops (D, anti-codon, and T loops). Further hydrogen bonds mediate the characteristic L-shaped molecular structure. tRNAs have two regions of fundamental functional importance: the anti-codon, which is responsible for specific mRNA codon recognition, and the 3' end, to which the tRNAs corresponding amino acid is attached (by aminoacyl-tRNA synthetases). tRNAs cope with the degeneracy of the genetic code in two manners: having more than one tRNA (with a specific anti-codon) for a particular amino acid; and 'wobble' base-pairing, i.e. permitting non-standard base-pairing at the 3rd anti-codon position. The record is from RNAcentral. Lineage: Archaea; Thermoproteati; Thermoproteota; Thermoprotei; Desulfurococcales.
GGGCCCGUAGCUCAGCCAGGAUAGAGCGCCGGCCUUCGGAGCCGGAGGUCCGGGGUUCAAAUCCCCGCGGGCCCGCCA